GAUGAACGCUGGCGGCGUGCUUAACACAUGCAAGUCAAGGGGGCCCAGCAAUGGGCAACCGGCGAACGGGUGCGUAACACGUGAGCAACCUACCGAAUUGUGGGGAUAGCCGGCCCAACGGCCGGGUAAUACCGCAUACGAUCGAGACCAGGCAUUUGGACUCGAUGAAAUCUACGGAGCAAUUCGAGGGGCUCGCGGCCUAUCAGCUAGUUGGUGAGGUAACGGCUCACCAAGGCGACGACGGGUAGCUGGUCUGAGAGGAUGGCCAGCCACAUUGGGACUGAGAUACGGCCCAGACUCCUACGGGAGGCAGCAGUGGGAAUCUUGCGCAAUGGCCUAACGGCUGACGCAGCGACGCCGCGUGAGGGAUGACGCUUUUUCGGAGUGUAAACCUC
This 395-nucleotide ribosomal RNA is filed under the name uncultured bacterium. Its description in RNAcentral is "bacterial SSU rRNA". It matches the Rfam family "Bacterial small subunit ribosomal RNA", at positions 28 to 433 of the family's 1533-position model. The record is from RNAcentral.